This 344-nucleotide ribosomal RNA is filed under the name Rhipicephalus evertsi evertsi. RNAcentral's name for it is "partial 12S ribosomal RNA". The record is from RNAcentral. Lineage: Eukaryota; Metazoa; Arthropoda; Arachnida; Ixodida; Ixodidae.
AUUAUUUAAGAGCUAUAUAUUGUUAGUAAAUAAUUAUUACGAAAGCAAAAAAUUAUGGCGGUAUUUUAGGCUUUUCAGAGGAAUUUGCUCUUUAAUGGAUAAAACACCUAAAUCUUACUUGAAUUUGUUAAAUCAAUUUGUAUACCACUAUAAAAUUAAUUAUUUGCUUUAAUUAAUAAAGUUUAUAAUUUUUAAAACAAAUUAAGUCAAGGUGCAGUAAAAAUUUAAGAAUGAAGUGAAUUACAUUUCUUCUAAGAGAUUAAUAGAAAUUAAAAUAAAGUUAGGAUUUGAAAGUAAAAUUAAAAUAUAAUGUUAAUUUGAAUAAAGCUCUAAAAUAUGUACAC